This 468-nucleotide ribosomal RNA is filed under the name uncultured bacterium. Its description in RNAcentral is "partial 16S ribosomal RNA". It matches the Rfam family "Bacterial small subunit ribosomal RNA", at positions 28 to 507 of the family's 1533-position model. The record is from RNAcentral.
GACGAACGCUGGCGGCGUGCUUAACACAUGCAAGUCGAACGGAAAGGCCCUGCUUUUGUGUGGUGCUCGAGUGGCGAACGGGUGAGUAACACGUGAGUAACCUGCCCUUGACUUUGGGAUAACUUCAGGAAACUGGGGCUAAUACCGGAUAGGAGCUCCUGCUGCAUGGUGGGGGUUGGAAAGUUUCGGCGGUUGGGGAUGGACUCGCGGCUUAUCAGCUUGUGGGUGGGGUAGUGGCUUACCAAGGCUUUGACGGGUAGCCGGCCUGAGAGGGUGACCGGCCACAUUGGGACUGAGAUACGGCCCAGACUCCUACGGGAGGCAGCAGUGGAGAAUAUUGCACAAUGGGCGGAAGCCUGAUGCAGAAACGCCGCGUGCGGGAUGACGGCCUUCGGGUUGUAAACCGCUUUCGCCUGUGACGAAGCGUGAGUGACGGUAAUGGGUAAAGAAGCACCGGCUAACUACGUG